Molecule: ribosomal RNA, 480 nt
Filed under: uncultured bacterium
Lineage: Bacteria
Description: partial 16S ribosomal RNA
Rfam family: Bacterial small subunit ribosomal RNA
Source: RNAcentral
GAUGAACGCUAGCGGCAGGCCUAACGCAUGCAAGUCGAGGGGGAGGUUACUUUCGGGUAACUGAGACCGGCGUACGGGUGCGUAACGCGUAUACAAUCUGCCUUUCACUGGGGGAUAGCCCGAAGAAAUUUGGAUUAAUACACCAUAGUAUAGUAAUACGGCAUCGUGAUGCUAUUAAAGCAUAGGUGGCGAAAGAUGAGUAUGCGUUCUAUUAGCUAGUUGGAGAGGUAACGGCUCCCCAAGGCGAUGAUAGAGAGGGGUUCUGAGAGGGAUGUCCCCCACACGGGUACUGAGAUACGGACCAGACUCCUACGGGAGGCAGCAGUGAGGAGUAGUAGACAAUGGUCGGAAGACUGAUCCAGCCAUGCCGCGUGCAGGAUGAAGGUCUUAUGGAUUGUAAGCUGCUUUUGUAAGGGAAGAAUAAGGGCUACGCGUAGUUUGAUGACGGUACCUGACGAAUAAGCAUCGGCUAACUCCGUG